RNAcentral lists this ribosomal RNA (250 nucleotides) under uncultured Enterobacteriaceae bacterium. RNAcentral's name for it is "partial 16S ribosomal RNA". It matches the Rfam family "Bacterial small subunit ribosomal RNA", at positions 86 to 339 of the family's 1533-position model. Lineage: Bacteria; Pseudomonadati; Pseudomonadota; Gammaproteobacteria; Enterobacterales; Enterobacteriaceae. The record is from RNAcentral.
GGGUGACGAGUGGCGGACGGGUGAGUAAUGUCUGGGAAACUGCCCGAUGGAGGGGGAUAACUACUGGAAACGGUAGCUAAUACCGCAUAACGUCGCAAGACCAAAGAGGGGGACCUUCGGGCCUCUUGCCAUCAGAUGUGCCCAGAUGGGAUUAGCUAGUAGGUGGGGUAACGGCCCACCAAGGCGACGAUCAGUAGCCGGUCUGAGAGGAUGACCAGCCACACUGGAACUGAGACACGGUCCAGACUCC